GGAAUACGGAAGACUUUCCAUUUGUACUUUAGCUACCUCUACGAUGUUGGUGUGCUGGGCGUAGACAUGAAGGGCGCUAGGAUAAGCAUCCAGAUACGCUCCUUCGCUUCCUCUGGUGAGCCAGCCCAGCUAUAGAGAGGACCCCUUCUUCACCAAGCACACACAGCCUGUGGGAGCAUGGAAUCAAGAGUGGCUGGGAAAGAUCUAGGAAACCAUUUCUUCAAAUGAAGAAAGAGUAAAUAACAUCUGGCCCCAAGAUGACCUUCAAAGUUGAAGAUUAAGACAGAAGUCUCAGAGACAGAUACCGGAAAAUUACUGGAGGCCUCCUUCCCACAAAUAAUUAAAAGCUUCCCAUCACACCCAUAACAAAUACCUGCUAGGAAGUAACUGGAACCACUGUGUACCCCACGUUUCCUCCAAGGAACCUCCCACCCCUGACUCCGUGUGGUCAACCAUAGAACUCAACCCCCACCUGGAGCCUCCCAGAACAUUCCAUCCCUCUGGCCACUACUGAUGUUCUGGAAAAGAUACACAACCCAGCAGGGCCAUCAGAGUUCUCGCAGGGACUUCCUGGACCCUAAGAGGGAGAGGGUUUCUUUCCCUGUUCCCUUUUGGCAUUGAUGUAAGGAGAGUGUUUGUCUGGCUAGGAAUUAAGUAAACACCCCCAGGGAAGUAGAGCCGGAGACGAAGGAAGUGACAAAGCCCUUUCAUCAGCCCUUUCAUCGCUGGAGCCCCUACAUCCUGCCCUCCCGAGUUCACACCCAUUGUCCAUCAUUGGCCCUUCCCAAGUGGCUGGGCAACCAUUUUUAACUUUUGAUAAGUGCUGGGCCCCAGAGCCAGAUGGCGGCUCUUUAAACAAACUCGUUCUUCUCUGUGCCCCUGUGACCUCAGCUAUUAAGCGGGCUGAUGAUCCAUCCUGUUCACCUCAGAAGACUGUUUCAAGGAUGAGAGGUGUCAGCAUUUGAAAGCCAUGGCCGGCACAUAGUGUGCAUCUUAUAAAUGCUGGUGCUCACUAUUAUUAUUCUUUGUUACGGGAUCCUCUACUCUCCCUUCUGACCUUGAACUAGUAUGAAUUAGAUUUCAGUCACUUGCAGCUAAGAAGUCUUGAUUACGAUCAUCAGUUUGACAAGGAAGUUAAAAGUCAGAGGCCCAAAGCCACUCUAUGAGAAAAUCCUUACAAGUAGUUUCUAGAUUGACCCUCUAACCCUUAGCUUUUUCUUCACCCAGUAUAUGCAUUAUCUCUCCAAAGAGAUGAUAAAUUCCAGCAUCUCACUAAUAUUGCUUUGCUCUAACAUCAUUCCCAGCACGGAGCCUA
RNAcentral lists this long non-coding RNA (1315 nucleotides) under Homo sapiens (human). RNAcentral describes it as "HSALNT0404365". The record is from RNAcentral. Lineage: Eukaryota; Metazoa; Chordata; Mammalia; Primates; Hominidae.